Molecule: ribosomal RNA, 429 nt
Filed under: Gemmatimonadota bacterium
Lineage: Bacteria; Pseudomonadati; Gemmatimonadota
Description: Gemmatimonadetes bacterium partial 16S ribosomal RNA
Rfam family: Bacterial small subunit ribosomal RNA
Source: RNAcentral
UAGGGAAUCUUCGGCAAUGGACGAAAGUCUGACCGAGCAACGCCGCGUGAGUGAAGAAGGCUUUCGGAUCGUAAAACUCUGUUGUUAGAGAAGAACAAGGACGUUAGUAACUGAACGCCCCCUGACGGUACCUAACCAGAAAGCCACGGCUAACUACGUGCCAGCAGCCGCGGUAAUACGUAGGUGGCAAGCGUUGUUCGGAUUUAUUGGGCGUAAAGCGAGCGCAGGCGGUUUCUUAAGUCUGAUGUGAAAGCCCCCGGCUUAACCGGGGAAGGUCGUUGGGAACUGGAAGACUUGAGUGCGGAAGAGGGGAGUGGAAUUCCAUGUGUAGCGGUGAAAUGCGUAGAUAUAUGGAGGAACACCAGUGGCGAAGGCGGCUCUCUGGUCUGUAACUGACGCUGAGGCUCGAAAGCGUGGGGAGCAAACAGG